Molecule: non-coding RNA, 3923 nt
Organism: Rattus norvegicus (Norway rat)
Lineage: Eukaryota; Metazoa; Chordata; Mammalia; Rodentia; Muridae
Source: RefSeq, a predicted model, not a curated record
UCUUUGAGUGCUUUGAGAGGAGGUGUGGAGUGGAGCCCUCUGCGACUUGGUUGUAUCUAGUGAGCUGUGUGUGGUUGUGUCGAAUUUUACUGUACUGUGUAUAUGUGUAUGUAUCAGUGUGUGUAAGAGAGUGUGUGUUGACAGAUUGGCCUGUGUGUGAGUGCUUGUACACUUUUGCCUGUGUGUUUGUCAGUAUAUGUAGGAGUGUGUGAGUUUACAGGUUUGUAUGUGUGUAUGUGUUUGUAUGUGUGUAUGUCUUCUUGUGCGUAUGUGUAUCCCUGUGUGUAUGUGUGUAUUUGUCUGACGUGUGUUUUUCCAGGUUUGCUUGUGUGUAACUAUGCGUGUUUUGUGUGAAUCUGGGUGUUUGUAAGAGUUUGUGUGAGUAUAAGUUCACUUCUGUGUAUUUCUGUGUGUGUGCCUGUGUGUGUGCCUGUGCCUGUGUGAGUGCCCGUGUGCGUGUGUGUGUGUGUGUGUGUGUGUGUCUGUGUGUGCACGUGCCCAUCCCCUUUUGCCCCUUGUAUCUAUAUUACCUGCACCUCAGUGCAAGAGAGUGUAGAGGCCAGAAGUCACCCCGGCUGCUGUUCCUGAGUGUCAUCUGGAAAUUCUUUCAUGUCCUUAGUAUAAACAGUAGGUGAUUUCAGACACAUGGCAAUGGAAAAGACACCAGCAGAAACUACAGCAGCAACAGGAGUAGCAACAAUAGCAGAAGCAGCAUUAGGCACAGCAGCAGCAGGAGGAGGAGAAGGAGGAGCGUAGGAGGAGGAGGAGGAAGAUGAAGAGAGGAGGAGAAAGAAGAGGAGGAGGAGGAAGAGAAGGAAGAGGAGGAGAAAGAGGAGGAUGAAGAGCAGGGGGAAGAUUUUGAUUCCCUGUCCCCGUGAGAAUUGCUGAUGACUACUUCUGGACACAGAUAUCAUGCUGAGAACUGUUUAUCAAAAUGAUUUAACAGAAUAUUAAUUUUCAUAGAAGACAUGUCAAUGUUCCUGAGGGCAUGCAGCCCUGGAAAAGAGAGCCAGAUGGCAGAGGCAAGCAGUGUGGAAUGUUCUUACUGAGGAAGACCUUCUCAAAGCUGAUGAUGUAAUAGGUAUGAAGGAGCAUUUCAUGGGAGUCACGGUCCCAUGCCCCUGUGUCAGGGCACACAGAGCUCCUUGCCUUGCAUCCUGCGUGAGAGGGGACCUGGAAUAUUCCCUGAUCCCCACAGGGUCCUGGAUUGCAUGGUUCUCCCUCAGUCAUGGUCCUCCCUGUGCCUCAUGGGGUACGCAGCUUCUACGGGCUGAAUUUAUAUCAGUGAUUAACUGGAGCUGGACCACAACCACACCACAGGCAAGCCAUGGGCACUGAGGACAUUAAGAGCAGCAGACAAUCUCUCCUCCGCUGCUUCUGACUCUGCUCCACAAGCCAAGGCAGCUCCCACACAGCAGGCAUCCAGCCUAACUCCCAGCAGGGAGAGUGUGAGAUGUCUGUGGAUGAGCCCACAGGGACUACAGGAUUCUGUGGGAAGACAUCUGGUAGCUUCUGGAGCAGCUGCAGCAGCCAGGACACAUGAACUACAGUGGAGUUCAGAUCCUCAGCUGGCCUCAUCACGGACAGUCCCAUGAGGAGUGGGUGUUUGUUUCCUGCUUCACAGUUAGGGCAGGAACAAGCCCAGACGCAGUGAGUAAGGACAGUGCUUCUGUCUUGACCCAGCUUCCUUGUCCUCCCCCCUCCCCCAACUCAUAUCAGGAGCCACCCAGAGACCUUCAUAGGAGUGUGGGUCAUGUUAAUCAGAAUGCACAGCUGGAGAUUAAAUUCUGGGUAAGGUCUCCAUACAGCCCUGGUGGCUCCCACACCCUGCCUACCUAAGUUUUCCCAAUUGGGUCCUCAGGGUCGUGGAGAAUCUUCUACAGGCUGCCGUGAAGAUACAGCCAGUUUCUUGGUAACAUUGUGUUUAGCAGAGGUUCUCUGCUUCAGGCACAGAGCCUUCCAGUGAGAGGGUUUGCUGAGUAGCACACCAGGACCAGAAAAGUGUAGAGCCCUCUAGUGGUAGACAUGAAGUACUGCAGGAGUUUAUUUCCUGAUUUCUUCACAUCUACCUUGUUCUAAAGGCUUUUUGUCAGACACAUAGGGACCUAAGAAACUUGAGUUUGCACCCCCAUAGGGAACCCAGGACACUAAACCAGCAGCCCUGUUAAACGUCGGCAGAGGACAGUCUGGGCUCUGUGUUUAUAGAAUGGCUCUAGACUGGUAUGAAGACUGAUUGACCAGCCAGUCAAGGAGAGUUAGGGACAGUUAGAGACUUGGAGGAGAGCAUGAGCGGCAGACACAGCAGAGUCCAGGCCAACAGUGGAACCAGUUCAUUUAAUAGAGAAGCAUAUGCCCUCCCAAAAGGCUGUCAGCUUAAGGCACUGCACUGAAGACCUGACCCAAUAACAUGCCCAAUUUACACAUCACCCACCUGUGGCUUGUGGAGGGUCCUCAGGGUAGAUACUAAAGUCCAUCAUGGCUGAAAGGCAGAAGUUUGCACAUCAUUGCAAUGUGGAGGCUACUCUCUGCUGAUGGGACCCACACACUCUGUGAAAAAGUUUGCUUAAGUGAAAGUUGGCCGUCCUUGAACUCUCUGGUCUUCCAGGGUAGUGUGUGUUGACCACAUGCAGAGCCAUUCCUGAAAAACGUAAGAGCCAAAAUUCAACAAUAGGGAGAGAAUCCUGUGCCAGAUGGAAUCCCUCAGGCCAGUGCGGAUUCAGAGACAUCCUAUGCCAUGGCAUGGAGGCUCCCAAGAACUUCUAGGAUCAAUGUGAGCCACACCGGAGGCCACAGUCUAUCCUGGGAGAACAUUAAAGUAUCUGGAAUUAUCAGGGACCCUAAGGUAGGUUCGUCAGGAUAUGGAGCUGAUGCAUGGUGGGAUGCUUGGAGGAUACAGCCUAAGGCAACGUAGAGGAAAGUGUGUUAUGAGAGCUAAGACAGAGCAACCACACAGUCUGAGAACAAGUUUGCUUAAGUGAAAUUUGGCCGUCCUUGAACUCUCUGUUCUUCCAGGGUAGGAUGGCCUAUUGGGCCCAGGACAGAGCGACUAUGCCAGAAUUACAAUGGUCUGUAAUAGAGAUGGAGAAAGUGUCAGGAUGGGACUUGGGCAGUGGAUGGAGCUCUAUGACUGCAAAGCCUGCCUAGGCUCCCAGGACCCAGAGCUGGCUGCUGCAGGAAGUCCUAGAUCACAACUCUGCCGUUCCUCUUCCCAGGUCUUGCUUUUAACUACUGGACCCAACACAAAGCCUCCCUUGCAGGCUUACCAGAGCAUGAAAAUGAAAUGGCCACCUCCUGUAACAAGAAACACUUCUAGAAGAGGAAGGAGACAUCAAUACAUUCACAAAACCUACAACUCGAAGUCUGUCUUGCCAAUAAGUGUGCAGGGAUAAAGACAGAAAAGUAGCACACAUGUCUCCAGAGGCUUCACUCGGCAGCUGAAAGCCACAGCCAAUCCUCAGAUAGAGCUCGGGAAGUCUUGUGGAAGAGUGGUGGGGAGAGUGACAAGGAAACUGGUUGGGUUAAAACACUACAAGAAGUCCCCUACCGUCAGAUACCUUGGACCAUGGAGUAUGCUAGAGCCUGUGCAACCAACCCCAGAGCCGGGUUAGCUAUCUGCAGUUGGUCUCCAUGUGGGUCAUCUGACAAGUAGAUCCAGUGCUGUCUCAGUCUGUGUUGCCUGCCAUUGGAUCUGUUCCCCAUACCCGGACUGCCUGAUUGUAAAUCUGUGGGGCAGAAUGUGCUCGGGCCACCUGGGACUAGAUGUCCCAGGGUGGUGUGGUACACAGGGACUCUCCCCUUGUCCAAAGAGAAGGGAGAGCAUUAUGGUAGAAAGGAUUUGUAAGGUGGGACUGGGACGGGAAGAGGGAGAGUGACUGGGAUCAGGAUGUAACCUGAAUAAAGAAGACAUUAUUGGAACUAAAAAA